This 253-nucleotide ribosomal RNA is filed under the name uncultured bacterium. RNAcentral's name for it is "partial 16S ribosomal RNA". It matches the Rfam family "Bacterial small subunit ribosomal RNA", at positions 524 to 776 of the family's 1533-position model. The record is from RNAcentral.
UACGAAGGGGGCGAGCGUUGUUCGGAUUUACUGGGCGUAAAGGGCGCGCAGGCGGCUUAUUUUGUCAGGCGUGAAAGCCCCGGGCUUAACCUGGGAACUGCGUUUGAUACGGAUGGGCUAGAGUACGGGAGAGGUGAGUGGAAUUCCCAGUGUAGAGGUGAAAUUCGUAGAUAUUGGGAAGAACACCGGUGGCGAAGGCGGCUCACUGGCCCGUAACUGACGCUCACGCACGACGGCGUGGGGAUCAAACAGG